This is a non-coding RNA of Sus scrofa (pig), 2598 nucleotides long. The record is from RefSeq and is a predicted model, not a curated record. Lineage: Eukaryota; Metazoa; Chordata; Mammalia; Artiodactyla; Suidae.
UUUAUCCUAAAAUACAGCUCCUCUCAUCUCACUGGAACCCACACACUAAAUUAGGGACUUCUGGCUGCCAGAAUUCAUUUGUGUUCUUGGAUUUUCACUUUGAAAACUUCCAAAGGAGAUGAGGAAUCCUGCUGAUAGCAGAGUAAGCCUCAGCAAUGGAAGUCAAACUGGUGAUAAAUAUAAAGAAAACCUUAAUCAGCUUUAAUGAAUACAAACAGCAUAAUGCCUGAACCAGGGGUGUCCAGGGAAAUGUUCAGCAUGGUUCAUCGGCAGGAUUCAACAAUUUUUUAAAAGAGAGACUAUUGCGCUUGGACUUCCACUGAGCAAUGGAGGGGGUAGCAGUCAAUUGGAAAGAAUGCAGACUGAAAUCUGUACCAGAAGUUAGUCCAUGCAAAUGAGCGAAGCCAAGGGCUCACUGCUUGAGCCCUACCAGAAAGUUGAUUCAUUUACUGUGAUCCAGCUUCCCCAUCUGUCAGAUGAGAAUGUAAUAGCAAUUCUGUGCCUCUUAAAAGAUUUCCUAUCUGAAGAGCUCCCUACCACCAAGCCAACAAGAUCCAGAUGUAAUUUCACUGAUGAGCAAGACAUCUCUGCCAACUGAAUUUCUAUUGAUUAGCAUUUGACUUUGUUUGUCAGCAAAAAGAAAAACGUAUUCUUUAAUGGCAUGUUUUGGUACAUAACCAGUGGGUACAUGUCAGGAGGGAGGGCAUAGAUGGAGGGGUCUCUUUCAAAAGCUGAUGAAAACAUAUUAGUGUGUACGAUCAUUUCUGCUCUCAGCCAUAUAAAUAGCAUCUGUAAUCUUAAAACAGCCAACAUCCUGCCCUGAAGAUGAAAGGGAGAGUUGGCUUAAUGUUCUUUGGCGCUGGAAGCUGUUGUGGCCUGAGAUGGAUGGGGACAUCAUGUACUGACCAUGGGGCCAAUGUCACUCAUAGUCCACCCAGCCUCCUGGCCCCUCGUCCCUGGAGGGCUUGAGGGGGUUACACACAAGCCAGUCAUUCUCACCAGGUGGGAGGAGUAACAACUUCUGAUAACAAAUUACAGCUGUUUGGGGUGACAUAAAAGCAUGAAGGUAGGUUUCUCACCAGACUAGCCUGGAUGGGGAUUUUUUUGGUCAAACAGAGCAGACCUAGAUUUUUAUAAACCAUCACACACUACAUGGACGGGCUACAAAUUACGUUAGGGGCCCAAGGACUGAAACCAUCCACUUUGGCCAGGCAUGAUAAUAACAACUUGCAUGAGUUGUUUCACAGCAGGAGGCCCUGAUAAGGAACACGGUGCUGCCCUGAAGACUAACCAGGAGGAGGUGGGAGGGACCCGACCUCCCAGAAUUCUUGGUGCUCGAAUCCAUCUUGGCUGAGAGGUGUGUGUGCAGCCAGGAAGGACCCUGAGCCAGACCAAGGAAGAGCCGAGUGAGACAAUUGGCCAGAGACAGCCCAGAAACUAACUCCCAUUCCGAUAAAACCUGAGAUCGAGAGCCACAUGGCAGAGCAGUUCUCCUGGGUUCCCUUCCCCGCUGCGUGCCUCCUGGGUGGGUGCCGUUUCCCAAUUCUUGGGCCUUGGAAGGGGUCCCCCUUCCUGCAACAGUUACAGACUACUAUACUAUUUUACCAAGAACUUUUUUACAUGUUAUUUCAUCGAGUCAUGACUACAAAUCCCAUGAGAUAGUUAUUAUUAUCAUCUCUCUAUGUCAUGGCCCAAAGAUAUUCAAGGCCCGGAAAUAUUAAAUGACUCAUCCAAUAUUAUUCAACAUGUAAGUUAUAGACUUAAAGUUUGAACCCAUGUCUCUGGCCCUAAGUCCAGUUUCCAUCCAACACAACAGCCUAUCCAUCUCCUUUACUAAGGGAAUAUACUUUCUAUGAUUUUCAAGCAAAACUUUUAUUUUCCAUUGGUACAAUUUUUUUCCUAAUGAGUUAUUUUCCAUUGGUACAAUUUUUUUCCUAAUGAGGACCUGUUAUUACUAAAUCAUAUAAUAUUUUAAUAAUUUAUGAAUGCAAAUAAUGUGUUACUUAGGUGUCAUAGGAAAGAACAUGAGAAAUCAGUGUUAAUAUUGCCACUAACCCUGGACCUAUCACUUGAAAGUCUUGAUUUCUUUAUCAAAUGGAUAUGCUUCUUUCACAUUAACCUGUGUGUCCCUACAUUAUGAGAUAGAAGCAAAAGGGUGCACAACGUGAUUAACACAAAAUUUUCCAGGAAUGGCUUAAAUGAAAUAGAUUUUCUUAAAGUGAUUGACCAAAGACCUAUCAAGAGUUUCCAUUCAAUUCCCUGUGCAGUUAAGAGUGUUUCUGGUUAAUUGUCGCCCUCCAGGAAUUAAGAGGUCAGAAUGCCCUCAGAGCAUGAAGAUAAAAUGCAGAGUAACAAGAGAAAAAUAGGAAAAUUGGCAUAAAAAUAUGGGAUCCUUCAGUCUAUAUAAAUUCAAGAGAGAGUAUAUUUUCUGAGAGAGUCCACCUGCUCUGAGGUGGUAGUAAGAAUUUAGUUAGCUGAAAAAGGGCAAGCAACUUCCUUCAAGCAAUUAAGAUGCUGUUUCAGGAGUUCCCGUUGUAGCUCAGCGGAAGCGAAUGCGACUAAUAACCAUGAGGUUGAUGGUUCAAUCCCUGGCCUCAC